AAAGUCGUAACAAGGUAACCGUAGGUGAACCUGCGGUUGGAUCAUUAAUAAUUUUCAAUGAACCUUCAUGGUUCUUGGACUUACCUUGUGUGAUAUGUAUUUCUGUUUCUCGUGGUUCGAGUGCCCAGUUCUUGUGAUGAGAACUGCGUCUGGGUCUGGUGUUGAUGAGGUUAGUUCCUUGUCCAUUGGAUUCCUGGUCCACGGAAGGGUUCGUCGAGGCCUUUUCUUCUCACAGAGAUCAUGCUUCCGAACCUGCAACAACCUUAUGUUUUUAUAUGUUUUGUCUUAUCAAUUCUCACAUUCUGAAUGUGUAAAUUUAAAACAACUUUUGACAACGGAUCUCUUGGCUCUC
RNAcentral lists this unclassified non-coding RNA (352 nucleotides) under Chytridiomycota sp. RNAcentral's name for it is "partial contains small subunit ribosomal RNA, internal transcribed spacer 1, and 5.8S ribosomal RNA". The stretch from base 1 to 47 matches the Rfam family "Eukaryotic small subunit ribosomal RNA", at positions 1785 to 1831 of the family's 1831-position model. Lineage: Eukaryota; Fungi; Chytridiomycota. The record is from RNAcentral.